Molecule: ribosomal RNA, 253 nt
Filed under: uncultured bacterium
Lineage: Bacteria
Description: partial 16S ribosomal RNA
Rfam family: Bacterial small subunit ribosomal RNA
Source: RNAcentral
UACAGAGGGUGCAAGCGUUGUUCGGAAUUACUGGGCGUAAAGCGUGCGUAGGUUGUACUGAGAGUCGCGGGUGAAAUCCCAGGGCUUAACCCUGGAACUGCCUGCGAGACCUCAAUACUAGAGUAUGAGAGAGGAUAGUGGAAUUCCUGGUGUAGCGGUGAAAUGCGUAGAGAUCAGGAGGAACACCUGAGGCGAAGGCGGCUAUCUGGCUCAUAACUGACACUGAGGCACGAAAGCGUGGGGAGCAAACAGG